Molecule: long non-coding RNA, 12569 nt
Filed under: Nicotiana benthamiana
Lineage: Eukaryota; Viridiplantae; Streptophyta; Magnoliopsida; Solanales; Solanaceae
Description: long non-coding RNA (NBEN_LNC026687)
Source: RNAcentral
AAAUGAUUCAUCCUCUAAACUCUCCUACGCGGUUGCAUGACACAUCAGUGCGGACCGCGCAGGUCAUUUGUUUCCCGACUUCACUUGUAUUUCGUCACUUGGCAUAUUUAACUCCUUUUUGAGCUGAUCUUUGACAUUUGUCAUCAAAUCUGUCAAACCUGCAAUCAAGUGCAACUUGUAAGCAUAUUGGGACUAAUUUAUGGAAAUUCACGCACAAAGCUCAGGCAAGAAUGGGAAUAAAGCAUGUAAAAUCAUAUUUGUGAGGUACUUUCAAGGCAUCUUUUUCCGGAUUAGUAAGGUGUGAGUAUUAGUCGUGCAGAUCCUAUAUUUAUUGAGGUUUCCUUUUCUUGGUUCAGUUUGGUAUUUAUUUAUCGUAAAUGUCUUGUAAUUUAGCCUGUUGAUUUGACUGUAUACAUUGAGUGUUUGGUUAUGACAUGGUGAGAUCGGGUGGCACGCCACAACAUGUGUAAUACGAGAUGAUUAAUAUGGCUGAAUAGGGGGGAAUAUAUAUAUAUAUAUAUNNNNNNNNNNNNNNNNNNNNNNNNNNNNNNNNNNNNNNNNNNNNNNNNNNNNNNNNNNNNNNNNNNNNNNNNNNNNNNNNNNNNNNNNNNNNNNNNNNNNNNNNNNNNNNNNNNNNNNNNNNNGUAUGUAUAUAUAUAUAUAUAUAUGUAUAUAUAUAUAUAUAUGUAUGUAUAUAUAUAUAUAUAUAUGUAUAUAUAUAUAUAUACACACACACGGUGGGAUCUGGUUGCACAUUGCAACAGGUGUAAUGAGGGUUGAUUGAUACGGUGAAAUAAGGGGUGAAUUUACUACAUUGAUAUUCAUAUAUGGUGGGAUCGGGUUGCGCGCCACAACAGAUAUAUUAUUUACUAUUAUUGAUAUCCUUAUGGUUGAGUAAGGGAGGAUUAUGUAUUAUCUGGUGGGAUCGGGUUGCGUGCUGCAACAACCUAUAUAUUUCUAUUUCUUGAGCUGCAUUGUUUUUACAAUAUUUUGUUUGAACUGGUAAGAUUGGUAAUCUUGGAUGACAGUGGUUUAUUUCGAGGAUGUGGUUGUCAUUUCCUAUUGGCUGUUUAAAAUUUGUGUUGUAUUCCAAUUAUCCUAUCAUUAUUACAUACUUUGUACAUGUUUUAGUUUAAGUGACCCGCCUUAGCCUCAUCACUACUUCCUCGAGGUUAGGCUUGGCACUUACCAGUACAUGGGGUCGGUUGUACUGAUACUGCACUCUGCACACUGUGGAAAUUUUAGAGUUGGUCCUAGUGGCAGAUAUUAGCAUGCUCGAAUUGGAUAUUGUUGGAGACUUGAGGUAUGACUUAUCAUCGCCGACUACUUCUGGAGUACCCACCCUCUAUUCUUUAGCCGUAUAACUUCAUUCAAAAAGCUUGUACUUAUUGCAAACUCUUAUGUGUAUUACUUUAGAAGCUCAUGCACUUAUGACACAAGGUUCAUUGAAAUGUAAUAGACGUUUGGUUGUUUAAUUUCCACAUUUAUACGUAGAACACAUUUAUUAUUUCAGCUCGUUAUUAAUGCUAUCACUUAAAACUGUGAAAAGGAGUAAAUUGUUCUAAUGUUUGCUUGCCUAGCAAGUGAAAUGUUAGGCGCCAUCACGAUCCCGACGGUGGGAAUUUUUGGUUGUUACAAGUUGGUAUCAGAGCACUAGGUUACAUAGGUCUCACGACUCACGAGCAAACUUAGUAGAGUCUGGCGGAUCAGCAUAGAGAUGUUUGUACUUAUCUUCUAGAGGCUAUGGAGUAAAGAAUAGGUUCACUUAUAUUCUUCUCUUCUGUGUCAUUGCUGAUUGAACUCUUAUAUUCUAUUCUCUUGCAGAUGGCGAGAACGCGUACCGCAUCUUCAGCUGAGCAACAGCUAGAUCCCUCAACAGUAGCUCCUACGUGGGGUAGGGGUCGAGGCCGAGUUCAUUCCAGAGGUCGAGGUAGGGGCAGAGCUUAGCCCCGAGCUCGAACAACAGAACUAGUAGCGGAGCCUCAGUUAGAGUUUGGUAGGCUCCAGCCCAGAUUGUUCCUGCCGGACCACGUCAGGUCCCGGAGGGGUUCAUAGACACCCGGUACUUCAGGAUGCCUCGGUUCGUCUAGUAGGCCUUCUGGAGAAUGUUUCUCAGAUCGACACAUUUCCUGUGGUACCAUUCAUCUCUCGGGCUUGCGGAGGAGUCCAGACUCCUACUACUCACACAUCGGAGUAGAUGGCUCCCUUGUUUCAAACUCUAGUAGUUCAACUAGUUGGACCAGUUUUGCCGGGUGUUGCAACACAGACCAAUGAUGGAUCAGUUAUGUCUUCUGAGUCUUUGUGGAGAUUAGAAAAGUUUACCAAGCCUUUCCCAAUUCAUUAUGGAGGUACAACAUUAGAGGGUCCCAAGACUAUCUAGAUAGUUUUUGUGAGGUGUUACGGAACAUGGGGAUAGUGGAGAUCAAUGGGGUCGACUUUGUUGCAUUUCAUUUGUCAGGUUCUGCCAAGAAAUUAUGGAGGGAUUAUAUGUUGUCCAGACCAGCUAGGUCAUCGGCUCUUACUUGGGACUAGUUCUCUCAGCUUUUUCUUGAGAAGUACCUUUCUAUCACUCAGAGAGAGAAUAAUCGGAGGCAGUUUGAGCGUAUUCAGUAGGGUUCUAUGACAAUCACUUAGUAUGAGACUCGAUUUAUGGAUCUGGCCUAUCAUGCUAUUCUUCUAUUUCCUACCAAGAGAUAGAGAGGGUGACGAGAUUUAUUGAGAUAGUUGCACAGCCUAUCAAAUUGCAUAUGGCUAAGGAGACUAGGAGCGAGAUUUCUUUUUAGGGGGCAGCAAAUAUUACCAGGAGAGUCGAGAUGGUUUUAGCUCAAGGGAGUGGUCAGGGGUCUGAUAAGAUGACACAUCACUCUGGUGGAUUCAAUGGAGCCUCAUCUGGAGUUCGAGUUACUUUUGGUAGAGGCCAUCCUCCCAUGCCAUUUCAUUUAGUGCUUUAGACUUCCCCAAUGCUUCAGGGAGUCGUGGUCCUUAUGUGCCUCAUUCUAGACAACCAACUUAUAGUGCAUCGCCAGCUCCUAUCAAUAUACCUUCUAUUCAGAGUUAUUAUCGAGUGUGGUGGCGACGGGCAUAUCAGGAGGACUUGUCCAAAAUUAUUGGGCAUUCUGCCACAACACCAUAGUUCUCGUGCCAUGAUUCCGGCACCUGGUGAACCACCGCCCACUCAGUCAGCUAGAGGUAGGGGCCAGGGAGCGAGAGGUAGAGGUCAGGCCACUAGAGGUGGAGGUCAGGCCGUUAUAGGUGGAGGCCAAUCCACUAGAGGUAGAGUCCAGCCAACAGGAGGUUGUCCUAGAGAUAUGGUUGAGAGUGGUAGGGCCCAGCCCCGAUGUUAUGCUUUUCUAGCCAUGUUUGAGGCUGAGUCAUCCGAUUCUAUUAUCACAUGUAAUGUUUCAGUUUGCUAUAGAGAUGCUUCAGUUAUAUUUGAUCUAGGGUAUACCUACUCCUAUAUGUCAUCUUAUUUUUGCUUCAUGUUUGGUUGUGCCUCGUGAUUCUUUGAGUGCCCCUAUAUAUAUGUCCACACCUGUGGGGGAUUCUACUGUUGUAGAUUGUAUUUAUCAUUCGUGUGUAGUUAUUAUUGGGGGUCUUGAAACUAGCGUAGAUCUUCUACUUCUCAAUAUGGUUGAUUUUGAUAUCAUUUUAGUGAUGUAUUGGCUGUCACCUUACCACGCUAUAUUGGAGUGUCACACCAGGACAGUAACCUUAGCCUUGCCGGUGUUUCCUCGAUUAGAGUGGAGAGGGACUUCUGGUCAUUCUACCAGCAGGGUUAUCUCUUAUUUGAAGGCUUGACGUAUGGUCGAGAAGGGUUAUCUAGCUUAUUUGGCUUAUGUCCGUGAUUCUAGUGCGGAGGUUCAUCCCAUAGAUUCUGUACCAGUUGUUCGAGAAUUCCCAGAGGUAUUUCCUGCAGACCUGCCGGUGAUGCUACCAGACAGGGAUAUUUACUUCUGUAUUAAUUUGGUUCCAGGCACUCGGCCUAUUUCUAUACUAUAUCAUAUAGUCCCACUGUAGUUGAAAGAAUUGAAGGAGCAAUUGCAAGAUUUCUUGAUAAGGGCUUUAUUAGACCUAGUGUCACGCCUUGGGGUGCACCCAUACUAUUUGUACAGAAGAAGGAUGGAUCGAUGAGGAUGUGCAUAGUUAUCGGCAGUUGAAAAAAGUCACUGACAAGAACCAAUAUCCAUUGUCGAGUAUUGAUGAAUUAUUUGAUCAGCUUCAGGGUGCCAAAGUGUUUUCAAAGAUCGAUAUGAGGUCUGGCUACCAUUAGUUACGAAUUAGGGUGUCCAAUGUCCUUAAGAUAGCUUUUGGAACUCGAUAUGAGCAUUAUGAGUUCCCGGUGAUACCAUUUUGGUUGACAAAUACCCCAAAAACAUUUAUGGAUUUGAUGAACUGGGUGUUCAAGCCUUACAUGGAUUCUUUUGUGAUUAUGUUUAUUAAUGAUAUCAUGAUAUACUCCCGUAGACAAGAGGAGCACGAGCAACAUCUUUGGAUCGUACUUUAGAUGCUGUGAGACAGCCAGUUAUAUGUUAGUUUUUAAAAUGUAAAUUUUUGUUGGACUCAAUCUCUUUCUUAGGCCAGAUUAUAUUAGUAGAGGUAUUCAGGUGUAUCCUAGGAAGAUUGAGGUCGUUUAGAAUUUUCCUAGGCCUACUUCAGCCAUAGAGAUCCGUAGUUUAUAGGGAUUGCCAGGUUAUUACCGUCGAUUUGUUGAAGGGUUUUCUUCUAUAGCAGUCCCAUUGACUAGGUUGACCCAAAAGGGUGACCCUUUCAGAUGGUCAGAUAAGUGUGAGGUGAGCUAUCAGAAGCUCAAGACUGCAUUUACUACGGAACCAGUGUUUGUGUUGCCCACAUGAUCAUGGACUUAUACAGUAUAUUGUGAUGCAUCUCAUAUUGAACUUAGUAUGGUGUUGAUGCAGGGUGGCAGGGUUAUUGCAUAUGCUUCACAACAGCUAAAUGUUUACGAGAAGAAUUACCCUAUUCACGACUUAAAGUUGGCAGCCAUUGUUGAUGCGCAUAAAAUUUAGAGGCACUAUCUUUUUGGCGUGUUGUGUGAGGUGUUAAAGGAUCAUCAAAUUUUGCAGUAUUUGUUCAAGAUAAAGGAUCUCAAUUUGAGGAAGAGAAGGUGGUUAGAUCUAUUUAAAGACUAUGAUAUCACCAUCUUGUAUCAUCCUAGGAAGGCCAAUGUGGUUGCCGAUGCUUUGAGUAGGAAGUCAGCUAGUAUAGGUAGCCUCGCGUACAUUCCAGUCGGUGAGAGACCACUUUCAUUAGAAAUUCAAGCUUUGGCCAAUCAAUUCGUGAGGUCGGAUAUUUCUGAUCCCAGUCGUGUUCUAGCUUGUACGAUCGCUCGACCUUCAUUGUUUUAGUGCAUCAGGGAUCGACACUAUGAUGACCCUCAUUUGCUUGUCCUUAAAGACAUAGUGCGGCAUGGUGAUGCCAAGCAGGUUACAAUUGUAAAUGGUGGAGUCGUUAGGAAGUAGGUUCGUGUUUGUGUGGCUAAUAUGGAUGGACUUUGUAGUUGAUACUAGAGGAGGACCACAGUUCUAGGUAUUCCAUUCAUCCAGGCACUGCCAAGAUUUAUCAGGAUUUGCGGCAACAUUACUCGUGGAGGAGGAGGAAGAAGGUUGCACAUGUAGCUCGGUGUCGAAAUUCUUAGUAAGUAAAGUAUGAGCAUGAGAGAGCUGGUGGUUUGCUUUAAAAGAUAGAGAUUCCUGAGUGAAAAUAGGAGUGUAUCACUAUAGAUUUCGUUGUUGGACUCCCACGGACUUAGAGGAAGUUUGAUGCAUUUUGGAUUAUUAUGGAUAGACUGACCAAGUCAGCGCAUUCCAUUCAUGUGGCAGUUACCAUUUCUUAGGAUGAAUGGCAUAGGUUUAUAUCCGUGAGAUAGUUCGUCUUCAUGAUGUGCCUGUGUCUAUCAUUUCCGAUCGAGGUACAUAGUUUACCUCACACUUCUGGAAGGCAGUACAAUGUGAGUUGGGUACGUGGGUAGAGUUGAGCACAACAUUUCAUCCUCAUAUGGAUGGACAGUCCGAGCGUACUAUUUAGAUCUUGGAGGAUAUGCUCCACACAUGAGUUAUAGACUAUGGAGGAUCGUGGGAUCAAUUCUUGCCACUAGUGGAUUUUGCCUGCAACAACAACUAUCAUACGAGCAUCCAGAUGGCUCCAUAUGAGGCAUUAUAUGGUAGACGGUGUUGGCCGCCAGUGGGAUGGUUUGAGCAGGGGAGGCUCGAUUAUUGAGUAGAGGAUGCCUUGGAUAAGAUUAAAAUCAUUUAGGAUGGACUUCACACGUCCCAGUCCAGGUAGAAGAGUUAUGCAGACCGUAGUGUUCUUAUAUGGCAUUCAUAGUUGGAGAGAGAGUGUUGCUUUAGGUGUUAACCAUGAAGGGUGUAAUAAGGUUUGGAAAGAACGGCAAGUUGAGCCGUAGGUAUAUCGGACCUUUUGAGAUUCUUGAUUCAGUGGGAGAGCUGGCUUACAGAUUUUGGUUGCCACCUGGUUUAUCAGCGGUACAUCCAGUGUUUCAUGUGUCCAUGCUUCAUAAGUAUCACAACGAUCCAUCUAAAUUAGAUUUUGAGCACUAUCUAGUUGGACAAGUAUUUGACCUAUGAGGAGGAUUUGGUAGAUAUUCUAGACCGGCAUGUUCGUCAGUUGAGGUCAAAGCGUUGCCCUUCAGUUCGAGUGCAGUGAAGAGGUCAUCAUGUUGAGGAUGCUAUCUAUGAGUUUGAGUAUGAUAUGUGGAGCAGAUAUACCCACAUUUUCACCAGCUCAGGUACUUUUCUAUGUUUGUUCGAGGACGAAUGGUUUUUUUAGAGUGGAGAACGUGAUGACCCAAAGGGUCAUCUUAUGUUUUAGAACUCGAUACUGUGUUCCUAGGCCUUUAAAACCUUAUUUUAUUCCUUUGGAUUUGUGUGCACAGUCCGAGCGUGUUUCUGGAAAGCUUUUAUGUAGAAAGUUAAUAAAAAUAAGGAAUUUUGCUUAGAACUCGAUCUGUGUUCGUAGGACUAAAAAUAUUAUUUUAUACCUUUAGAUUUGUGUGCAGAGUCCGAGCACGUUUCCAAAAAUCUUUUAUGUAGAAAGUUAAUAAAAAUAAAGAAUUUUACUUAAAACCUCAUUCGAGUUGACUUCGGUCAAUAUUUUUGGUCAACAGACCUGGACUCUUUACAGUUUUGGUGGGUCCGUAUCAAAAUGUGGGAUUUGUGUAUGCUCAGAAUAGAACUCCGAGAUCCCUAGCUCGAGAUAUGAAUUUUUGAUGAAAAUUAAAAGUCUGAAAAUUAAAUAGUUUUAAAGAUAUUAUUUAUAUUUUAUCUUGUUGGUAUCGGGUCCAUAUUUUAGUUCCAGAGCCCGAUACAAUUUCAUUAUAAUAUUUAAGAUUUGUACGUGAAAUUUGGUGAGAAACAGAGUUGAUUUGAGGUGAUUCGGGUAUCCGAUUGUGACAAUAGGAAUUUUAGAGUGUUCUAGAGAAUUUUAUUUGAUUUGGUGAUAAAUUAAUAUUUUAAGUGUUAUUUUGGCGAUUUGAUCGCACAAACAAGUUCUUAUGAUAUUUUAAGAUAGGUGUGCAUGUUCGAUUUGGAGCUUCGUGAUCUCGGAUGAGUUUCAGAUAGGCUACGGAGUAUUUUGAACUUAGAAAUUUGCUGAUGUACUUCAGCUCUUGUUGAAGAGCUUCUGAUCUCGCAAUUGCGAGAUCAAGCCUCGCAUUUGGAACCUCUAGUGGGUUCGCAUUUGCGAAGAGUAGCUGUGGAGGCCAAUGUUUGCAAUUGCGAUGGGAACUGGGGAGAGGUGUUCUUCGCAUUUGUGAUCUCAUGGUCAUAAAUGUGGAGUUGCCCAUGUUCUCAUUUGCGAACUAUUACUCAUAUUUGCGAACAAUGCAAAGGUGAGAAGAUGUUCACAUUUGCGAUGCCUCCCUCGCAUUUGCAGGCUUUGCAUUUGCGACACCUGCAGCUGGAUAAAUUAGACUUGGACGAGAGUUUUCAUUCAUUCUUCAAAUUUUCAAAUCCAAGAAACCUAGAGAGGAUUCUUCCAAGACCAAUUCUUCCCCAAAACGUUGGUAAGUGUUCCUACCACUUCUUUUCAAUUCCCCAUCACAUUUCACGAAUUUCCAACCUAAAAUCUACGAUUUCCAUGGUAGAAUUUGCGAUUUUGGGUAGAGACUAGGGAUUUAGUAAAUUGGAAUGAGGUCGGAUUCCAGAACCAAUUUUUUUGCUCACCUGGUAAAAGGCAUAGCAUGUAAAAAAACAAUUGAUUUCUUUACUUCCUUACCUCGGGUAGGUUGAAAAAGCUACUAAUAAGAAAAGUUCAUUUCACUUGCGACCUUCCAUGCCAAGGAGGGUUGAAGGGAUCGAUCCCAAUAGACUUUCACGGGGGGAAAGACCAGGAGGAAGAUGACUUUAAUCUUUUAUUCAGAGAAAUAAGUGGCUCACGAAGAAUGGAAAGAAACAUAUUAUCUUUGAUCUCUAAGUCUGUACAUAGCAAUGGUGGGUGGGUCAUUACUUGUAGGAAUGACAUAAUGCUAAUCCAUGUUCGACACGACCAAGGAAGCAUCAGUUUUUAAUAUUUUUAUGAUUUGGUCGUUCUGAAGGACUCACUCUACUGAGGGGAAAUUAAGGCUGGAACUCUUUCUGCCAAAAACAAGGGGCCUACUUCUCAUCCUAGUCCUAUGCAUCCCCACCAAGGUCUCACAAACAUGCACUUCCCUUACGUAUCCAACCGCUUCACUAAGAUAAGCAUUUCCUGAUCGGGUAAAUUUUUCAAGAUUAGAAUUGAGUGAGGGUAGCGGUUCCUCCAUAAUAGCAAUGAAAAAGGGAGGUGGAAUUUCACCAUGAAAGUUAAGGAAGAAUUGUGGUUCAACUUCACAACAUGGUUACAACAGUACCACAAGCCAAUCAACUAACAAAUAGAUACGCUUCAAAGAAAGAGGAGAUAGAAUCCAGCUUUUAUUUGUUAUCGGGAUUUCACGUUCUCGACAUCGCUUCGGUUGGAAUAAGAGAAACUAAGUUCGUUUCUGUAUGAGAAAAUAACAAUUUCUGAAUAAGGGAUAAGUUAGGCAUGUACAGACUAUGACAUCAUUAAGCUCUUUUGAUUGACUUUCAUUCAUUAUCAUUAGUCCAAUGUGAAACUAAUAAAGAGAGAUGUGCUUUAGGCAUCAUGUAAGCAAACUAUGCACGCUAAGAGUAUUAUAUAUCCGAGCUCGGGGUGAAUGGGUAAAUGAAUUUUUGUCCGAACCUCGGGUUUUGACCAAGCGCGCCCGGGGUUGGUUUUUAACUUUUUGGGGGAUAGUUUGGGAAAUCCAAUUAUAUGCAUUGUAGUUGAUUCCUUAGCAAUAUUUGAUGUUGAGUUAAUUGUAGCUACAGACGAGUGGUUUAGAGGUGGAUGUCACCCCUCCUUUUUACCUACACCCCCAAGGGCGUAAAGUAGUUUUUUCAAUUAAAGGACAAUACGAACGGGAUUUAUUUAUUAAAGUUCAGAGUCGCCACUUGGGAGAUUAAUGUCCCAAGUCACCGGUUGAAUCCCGAACCGAGGAAGAAGAUGACUCCGUUAACAGUCCGCGAACCAGAAAUCCAGAUAAGGAAUUCCUUUAUCCCGGGAGAAGGCGUUAGGCAUUCUUAGGUUCCGUGGUUCUAGCACGAUAGCUCAACUGUCGCAUUUAGCUUAUUAUCUGAUUUUAUUACAUGAAAACAUAUGUGCCAAUUUUUUCUUUUUACCGCUUUUAUUCAAUUUUUUACAGAAAGGUGAAUGUCGUUUAAAACGUGUCUUUGGACCGCGUCACAUGAAAUGCACCCGCAAUCCUAAACAUAUUUUAUUCAAUGUUUUGGGAUUUGAUCUAGGUCACAUGAAAUGCACACCCGAUUUUAGGAAGGUAAUAUUAUUGAAAUCACGUAAAAAAGUCUAACGCGUUAUUAUCUUUUAGGACGGCCGUGAAAUUCGCUAAAUACCCUUCCUGAUUUUCUAAGUAUUUUUAAAACCUUUAUUCAGGGCCCCGCAAUUUUGUAUUUUAUUGGGAGAAGCUCGUCUCAUCUUAUUUUAAAGGAUAAGCCUAAAAGUAACUGCAUUUUCUUUUUUUUUAAUUUUUUGUCUCUAAAAGAAAAGAAAGGUCCUAAUUAAUUACAUUUAAAAUCCAAGCAAUAAGUUCAAGUCCAGGUCCAAACAAAAGAACGAACCUUUUAGCUUGAACCCACCACCUAACUCAAAACCCUAAUUUUAAAUAUCAAUUAAACCAUUGCAAAAAAUUCCGGAUUAGGCCCAAAUGACUAGCCCAAUGAACCCAAUUGGAAGGAACUGGGGCUAAUUAAAGGUUGGGAGUUCGAAUCCAUGUGAGCCCAAUUAACUAAGCCUUAUUUGGGCUGAACUGGUGAUCUAAACUGGACGCAUUAGCCCCUACGUGUGUUUCGGCUUCAACAGGUGGGCCUCUCACGUGAGGCUUACUUAAUGAUCGUCCUAUUGGGCAAAACAUCAAUCCCCAGCGAAAUGAUUUCCACAGCAUAAUCAACAAUCAAACUAACACAUUCUACAAUUUACUAAACUAUCUUAUAUAAAGUAAUAACAGAUCAAAUUGCCCAUUUUAGUUACUUAACGACACACUGUCUAUAUUCAAGCAAUUACCAACUUCAAAUAAUCUUAUGAAAUCAUGCGAAUAUUAUAACGUAUGAGAUUCUGUGCAUUGAUUUUCAAUUCAUAUACCUUCAUGCUACUGCUUAUCAUAUUCAUGUUUUAAUUAUUCUUCUAACUUAAAGAUAGUAACUCUAUAGAGGUAAUAAACCAACCACUAAAGCUAAGCUAUAAAUCCCAAUUUCCAGUUUGUCAAUUUAAAACCAUAUACAGUCUACUAUUGUCUUGACUCCAAGUAACAACUAUACAAUCUAAAUUUAAUUAACUUGAAUAAACAACUAAAUUAUGGAGAACAAAACUAUCUAAAUUUCAGAGGACUAUUCAACAGUAGAGCAACAACAGUAGACUUAUUUCAUUUUCAUUUUAGCUGAAAUUUACACACUGAGGUUCAGAGCAUGUACCUGAAAUUUGAAGUGAAGUAAGAAGAAGAGUAAGUCAGGAAUAGCGAUUACAUCAACCAAUGAUAACCCAUAGCUCAAACAACAACAAUUAGGAACAGUUGGGCCAAAAAUCACUUCAGAACCCAGUAACUCAUCACUGAAUACAACACAAAGCCUAAUACCCCUAAAGCUGACCCAAAACAACUUACAAUCACACCAGUAGUACUCAAAAAAUUUCAGCAAUCAAGUCACAAAAGUGAGAGCCAAUAGAACAGUAACUUUGUUGCUAUUUUUUUGAGUUUUUCUAACCUCUACUACAGAUUUGGAAUUUAAAGUGGAGAUAGUAUCUGGAAAUUAAAACUAACUGAAAAUGGAACUAUCAGGGGGAAUUUUUGAGAGAAGACUAAGAUAUCUCGAUGGAACAGUACACUGCUGAUAUUUUUUAAGGCUUUUCUGUAUUUUUCUACUAUUUUUGGAUUUUAUCAUUCGAAAAUCUAAAACUGAAUCUGGACAAAAGAAACAAGAGAAAAUGCUAAUUGGGAGGAACUUUGGGCUAUAAAAAGACCCCCUCAAAAGGCACAUGCAAUGCCUAUUCAUAGGCAACUAAAGGGUGGUGAAUUAGAUUUUUGUUUUAUAUUUUAGUCCCUCUCUCUUUAUUCUUUUGUUCCUUUUAUUUCUAUGUUUUAGAACAAAUGACUCUUAUCUAGAAACUCCUAGGAGUUACACAUUAUUCGUGUGACUAUCAAAUUUCCACAAUGCCCCUGAACGCAACUCAGAUUUACUAAACUGUUUCAAACGACUAAUUCCAAUUAUCUUAAUCAUAUUCUAUCCUACCCCCUCUAUUAAACCCGAUAAGUCAAUUAAUUACACAAGCAACUAAUAAUCUAACUAUUCAGACUAAGCAAUCAAAAAUUAACCCAAGUAAACACUUAUCAUGACGAAUUAAUCUACCAAUUAACUAAUCAAUUAUGAAAUUCAAAACCAACUGGAAUUAAACUCAAGCAAAAAUCCCAAAACUUACACAUGCAACUAAACAGAAGGAAAGAAGAAAUGGACUAAUAAAGAAAAAGAAGGUUAUGAACUCAUUGAUAUACACAGAAACUCCGGCCAGCCAUCGACGUCCAAAUCCUCCAAAACUUCUGACACGUAACAUCUCCAAUCAUCUGUUUUCAUAUGAAAACACAUGGUUAGGGAUAUUACGGUCCUAAAUCACAAAGAUUUUGAGUUAGGGUUUUUUGGCCGAAAAUUGUUAAAUUGCUAUUAGAGCAAAUCCCGGCAGAUUCGAGAGAUGCCACUAUGGGGGUUGGGUGGAGUAUGCCUGGGUGGUUCUAUGGUGUAAACUUGGGAACAUUUGGCGUAAGUAGUGUUCGUUGGAAAAUCAUCCAUGAAAUAUUCAACGGUUUCUAGUGAGAUUCAAAGGAAACUAAGGGUGGGAAUGGGUAGAGGUGAGCAAUGUAAGUUAGUGGUGUAGAUUUGGUAGUCAUUGGCAUAAGUGGUGUUCACCGCCGAUGGCAGCUCCAGCGGUGUUACAAUCUCUAGUACGAGGAAGAUGAGGUUAAGUAUUACAGUUGAUGACUAGAUUCGGACAGUUUU